UUUUUUUAAACCGAGCAUAACACCCCUUUUCAUUACUUCGAACGGAAAUACAGCAGUAUCACAACGUUUUGCCAACAGAAAAACAGAGAAAAGUACUGGGUACGACAACAUGCUCUCGCAGACUACCAACUUUCAUCUAUGGAACAGCCGCUCGCCAUCGAACCGACUGCCAUAGCCUGAAAGCCACUAAUCAAAGCAGAGCAGGGAAAAGUAGUCUCUAAUACAGCAAAACCGUAUGCAUAGAACUUGACCAAAUAUACGAGCUAACAACUAGCAGGAUAUCCCCCAGAGAUCAUCAAAGGACAACGUGUUCAUCCUCCUGUGAUCCCCCGCCUCGCUGUCUCGCAGAGCUUCAUCAACUGCAUGGUAUUAGUCCUUACCAACUCCGCACCAGAACGUAGCUCUCCUGCGUCGCCCUCCUGCUGCAAUCCUGCCCAAUAU
This 441-nucleotide long non-coding RNA is filed under the name Hordeum vulgare. RNAcentral describes it as "long non-coding RNA (HVUL_LNC021200)". Lineage: Eukaryota; Viridiplantae; Streptophyta; Magnoliopsida; Poales; Poaceae. The record is from RNAcentral.